UGGACAGAAGCCUGUUAGGUUUAGGCAUUUAGCUGUUAACUAAAAUUUUGUGGGAUCGAAGCCCACCUGUUCAG
This 74-nucleotide transfer RNA is filed under the name Ixobrychus flavicollis (black bittern). RNAcentral describes it as "Dupetor flavicollis (black bittern) tRNA-Asn". The record is from RNAcentral. Lineage: Eukaryota; Metazoa; Chordata; Aves; Pelecaniformes; Ardeidae.